RNAcentral lists this ribosomal RNA (253 nucleotides) under uncultured bacterium. Its description in RNAcentral is "partial 16S ribosomal RNA". It matches the Rfam family "Bacterial small subunit ribosomal RNA", at positions 57 to 305 of the family's 1533-position model. The record is from RNAcentral.
GCAAGUCGAGGGGCAGCGUAGAUUGCUUGCAAUCUGACGGCGACCGGCGAACGGGUGCGUAACGCGUAUAGAACCUACCUUUUACAGAGGGAUACCCCAUGGAAACGUGGACUAAUACCUCAUGGUAUAUUUGAGUGGCAUCACUUAGAUAUUAAAGAUUUAUCGGUAAGAGAUGGCUAUGCGUCCUAUUAGCUAGAUGGUAAGGUAACGGCUUACCAUGGCAUUGAUAGGUAGGGGUCCUGAGAGGGAGAUC